Molecule: ribosomal RNA, 253 nt
Filed under: uncultured bacterium
Lineage: Bacteria
Description: partial 16S ribosomal RNA
Rfam family: Bacterial small subunit ribosomal RNA
Source: RNAcentral
UACGGGGGGGGCAAGCGUUGUUCGGAAUUACUGGGCGUAAAGGGCUCGUAGGCGGCCAUCUAAGUCAGACGUGAAAUCCCUCGGCUUAACCGGGGAACUGCGUCUGAUACUGGACGGCUUGAGUUUGGGAGAGGGACGCGGAAUUCCAGGUGUAGCGGUGAAAUGCGUAGAUAUCUGGAGGAACACCGGUGGCGAAGGCGGCGUCCUGGACCAACACUGACACUGAGGAGCGAAAGCCAGGGGAGCAAACGGG